GGGGGUUCUUAGGUGACGCACACUAGAAUCAGGCUCCCUCCUCUCUGGUUCCAGUGUGUGUCAUCUGAGAACUGUC
Myotis davidii is the source of this 76-nucleotide non-coding RNA. Lineage: Eukaryota; Metazoa; Chordata; Mammalia; Chiroptera; Vespertilionidae. The record is from Rfam.